UGGCGAACGGGUGAGUAACACGUGAGUAACCUGCCCUUGACUCUGGGAUAACUCCGGGAAACCGGGGCUAAUACUGGAUAUGAACUGUCCCGGCAUCGGGGUGGUUGGAAAGUUUUUCGGUCAAGGAUGGACUCGCGGCCUAUCAGCUUGUUGGCGGGGUAACGGCCCACCAAGGCGUCGACGGGUAGCCGGCCUGAGAGGGCGACCGGCCACACUGGGACUGAGACACGGCCCAGACUCCUACGGGAGGCAGCAGUGGGGAAUAUUGCACAAUGGGCGAAAGCCUGAUGCAGCGACGCCGCGUGAGGGAUGAAGGCCUUCGGGUUGUAAACCUCUUUCAGUAGGGAAGAAGCGAAAGUGACGGUACCUGCAGAAGAAGCGCCGGCUAACUACGUGCCAGCAGCCGCGGUAAUACGUAGGGCGCAAGCGUUGUCCGGAAUUAUUGGGCGUAAAGAGCUCGUAGGCGGUUUGUCGCGUCUGGUGUGAAAACUCAAGGCUCAACCUUGAGCUUGCAUCGGGUAC
This 522-nucleotide ribosomal RNA is filed under the name uncultured Sanguibacter sp. RNAcentral describes it as "bacterial SSU rRNA". It matches the Rfam family "Bacterial small subunit ribosomal RNA", at positions 96 to 633 of the family's 1533-position model. Lineage: Bacteria; Bacillati; Actinomycetota; Actinomycetes; Micrococcales; Sanguibacteraceae. The record is from RNAcentral.